UACGCAGGGGGCUAGCGUUGCUCGGAAUCACUGGGCGUAAAGCGCACGUAGGCGGACUCUUAAGUCGGUGGUGAAAUCCUGGAGCUCAACUCCAGAACUGCCUUCGAUACUGGGAGUCUCGAGUCCGGGAGAGGUGAGUGGAACUGCGAGUGUAGAGGUGAAAUUCGUAGAUAUUCGCAAGAACACCAGUGGCGAAGGCGACUCACUGGACACAUAUUGACGCUGAGGUGCGAAAGCGUGGGGAGCAAACAGG
Molecule: ribosomal RNA, 253 nt
Filed under: uncultured bacterium
Lineage: Bacteria
Description: partial 16S ribosomal RNA
Rfam family: Bacterial small subunit ribosomal RNA
Source: RNAcentral